UUCGCAAUGCCCGAAAGGGUGACGAAGCGACGCCGCGUGGGUGAGGAAGGCCUUCGGGUUGUAAAGCCCUGUCAGGAGUUAAGAAGUGCAGGCACGCUAAUAUCGUGCCUGUUUGACAAAGGCUCCAAAGGAAGCCACGGCUAACCCUGUGCCAGCAGCCGCGGUAAUACAGAGGUGGCAAGCGUUGUUCGGAAUUAUUGGGCGUAAAGAGCACGUAGGUGGAUUUGUAAGUCAGACGUGAAGGCCUCCUGUUCAACGGGAGAAUUGCAUCUGAAACUGCAAACCUUGAGUAUAGGAGGGGAGAAUGGAACUUCUGGUGGAGCGGUGAAAUGCGUAGAUAUCAGAAGGAACGCCGGCGGCGAAAGCGAUUCUCUGGCCUAUAACUGACACUCAGUGUGCGAAAGCUAGGGGAGCAAACGGGAUUAGAUACCCCGGUAGUCCUAGCCGUAAACGAUGGGCACUAAGUAGAGGGGUUUU
This 477-nucleotide ribosomal RNA is filed under the name Candidatus Scalindua marina (nom. nud.). RNAcentral describes it as "bacterial SSU rRNA". It matches the Rfam family "Bacterial small subunit ribosomal RNA", at positions 365 to 832 of the family's 1533-position model. Lineage: Bacteria; Pseudomonadati; Planctomycetota; Candidatus Brocadiia; Candidatus Brocadiales; Candidatus Scalinduaceae. The record is from RNAcentral.